This is a long non-coding RNA of Cotesia glomerata, 325 nucleotides long. RefSeq lists it as uncharacterized. Lineage: Eukaryota; Metazoa; Arthropoda; Insecta; Hymenoptera; Braconidae. The record is from RefSeq and is a predicted model, not a curated record. The transcript is spliced from 3 exons.
AAUAAAUAAAAAUAAUUUAUUUAAAUUUGUCACGGGGCUCCUUCAUUACCCGUUGAAGUUCCUCGCCCUAGCCGCGGUUAGUUAUCGACAGAUCACGGGCGCUGUGGUCUAGGAUGCUCGCGCAGUUAGAAAUAAAUUAACAUAAGUUCCGGGGCCUAGAGAGUAAGCGUUCCGAGAGUGGGGAUAAUUCCACACGGAGGUAGAGUGAAGUUGCCGCACCGAAAGAAGGCAUUGUGAAGCCGGAGCCCAACAAAGCUGCCUCGUAAUUCAACAGUAUAAGGUAAUUAUCUUUGUUCCUUCGAACCUUUUGUGGAACGAAGCAAUU